This 468-nucleotide ribosomal RNA is filed under the name uncultured bacterium. RNAcentral describes it as "partial 16S ribosomal RNA". It matches the Rfam family "Bacterial small subunit ribosomal RNA", at positions 28 to 507 of the family's 1533-position model. The record is from RNAcentral.
GACGAACGCUGGCGGCGUGCUUAACACAUGCAAGUCGAACGGAAAGGCCCUGCUUUUGUGGGGUGCUCGAGUGGCGAACGGGUGAGUAACACGUGAGUAACCCGCCCUUGACUGUGGGAGAACUUCAGGAAACUGGGGCGAAUACCGGAUAGGAGCUCCUGCUGCAUGGUGGGGGUUGGAAAGUUUCGGCGGUUGGGGAUGGACUCGCGGCUUAUCAGCUUGUUGGUGGGGUAGUGGCUUACCAAGGCUUUGACGGGUAGCCGGCCUGGGAGGGUGACCGGCCACAUUGCGACUGAGGUACGGCGCAGACUCCUACGGGAGGCAGCAGUGGGGAAUAUUGCACAAUGGGCGGAAGCCUGAUGCAGCAACGCCGCGUGCGGGAUGACGGCCUUCGGGUUGUAAACCGCUUUCGCCUGUGACGAGGCGUGAGUGACGGUAAUGGGUAAAGAAGCACCGGCUAACUACGUG